AACAAGCAAGUUUCCGUAUCCAACUUUUUAUCAUCCGUCUUAUUUGAAUUUUUUUUAUGAUUAGUAUUUUUUAUUGUUAUUAGAUUAUAAAACAUGAAGAAUACUUUAUGUGUGACUUAUGUUUUUAGUUUUCUUAAAAUAAUUUCAAAUAAGAUGAACGAUUAAAGUUGGGCACGGAAACUUAUGGCUGCGUUUAUU
This is a non-coding RNA of Oryza glumipatula, 198 nucleotides long. Lineage: Eukaryota; Viridiplantae; Streptophyta; Magnoliopsida; Poales; Poaceae. The record is from Rfam.